AGAGUUCGAUCCUGGCUCAGAUUGAACGCUGGCGACGUGCUUAACACAUGCAAGUCGUGCGAGACUGUAGACUUCGGUCUAUGAGUAGAGCGGCGCACGGGUGAGUAACGCGUGGAUGAUCUACCCUUGAGUUCGGGAUAACGGAACGAAAGAUCCGCUAAUACCGUAUAACAAUCCAUUUCAACGUGGGUUCAAAGCAGGCCUCUCGACGAAGCUUGCGCUUGGGGAUGAGUCCGCGUCCCAUUAGCUUGUUGGCGGUGUAACGGCCCACCAAGGCAACGAUGGGUAGCUGGUCUGAGAGGAUGAUCAGCCACACUGGAACUGAAACACGGUCCAGACUCCUACGGGAGGCAGCAGUGGGGAAUAUUGCGCAAUGGGGGAAACCCUGACGCAGCGACGUCGUGUGAGGGAAGAAUGCCUUCGGGUCGUAAACCUCUGUCAGAAGGGAAGAACCGCCGGGAGUCGAAUAGGCUUUCGGUCUGACGGUACCUUCAGAGGAAGCGCCGGCUAACUCCGUGCCAGCAGCCGCGGUAAUACGGAGGGCGCAAGCGUUAAUCGGAAUUACUGGGCGUAAAGCGUGCGUAGGCUGUUUGAUAAGUCAGGCGUGAAAUCCCUCGGCUCAACCGGGGAACUGCGCUUGAUACUGUCGAACUCGAGUCCUGGAGAGGGUGGCGGAAUUCCUGGUGUAGGAGUGAAAUCCGUAGAUAUCAGGAGGAACACCGGUGGCGAAGGCGGCCACCUGGACAGGUACUGACGCUGAGGCACGAAAGCGUGGGGGAGCAAACAGGAUUAGAUACCCUG
RNAcentral lists this ribosomal RNA (801 nucleotides) under uncultured Desulfovibrio sp. RNAcentral's name for it is "bacterial SSU rRNA". It matches the Rfam family "Bacterial small subunit ribosomal RNA", at positions 8 to 789 of the family's 1533-position model. The record is from RNAcentral. Lineage: Bacteria; Pseudomonadati; Thermodesulfobacteriota; Desulfovibrionia; Desulfovibrionales; Desulfovibrionaceae.